AGAGCGAACGCUGGCGGCAGGCCUAACACAUGCAAGUCGAGCGCCCCGCAAGGGGAGCGGCAGACGGGAGAGUAACACGUGGGAACGUACCCUUCAGUUCGGAACAACCCAGGGAAACUUGGGCUAAUACCGAAUACGUCCGUAAGGAGAAAGAUUUAUCGCUGAAGGAUCGGCCCGCGUCUGAUUAGCUAGUUGGUGAGGUAACGGCUCACCAAGGCUACGAUCAGUAGCUGGUCUGAGAGGAUGAUCAGCCUCACUGGGACUGAGACACGGCCCAGACUCCUACGGGAGGCAGCAGUGGGGAAUAUUGGACAAUGGGCGCAAGCCUGAUCCAGCCAUGCCGCGUGGAUGAUGAAGGCCUUAGGGUUGUAAAGUCCUUUCGACGGGGAGGAUAAUGACGGUACCCGUAGAAGAAGCCCCGGCUAACUUCGUGCCAGCAGCCGC
RNAcentral lists this ribosomal RNA (444 nucleotides) under uncultured bacterium. RNAcentral's name for it is "SSU rRNA". It matches the Rfam family "Bacterial small subunit ribosomal RNA", at positions 26 to 518 of the family's 1533-position model. The record is from RNAcentral.